RNAcentral lists this microRNA (23 nucleotides) under Parasteatoda tepidariorum (common house spider). RNAcentral's name for it is "pte-miR-35z-5p". Its record names the gene pte-miR-35z-5p. The record is from miRBase by way of RNAcentral. Lineage: Eukaryota; Metazoa; Arthropoda; Arachnida; Araneae; Theridiidae.
AGAAUAUUUCAUACGGUUGACUU